GAUGAACGCUGGCGGCGUGCUUAACACAUGCAAGUCGAACGGUGAAGGCGGAGCUUGCUCUGCUGGAUCAGUGGCGAACGGGUGAAUAACACGUGAGCAAUCUGCCCCUGACUCUGGGAUAAGCGCUGGAAACGGCGUCUAAUACUGGAUACGAGCUGCGAAGGCAUCUUCAGCAGCUGGAAAGAAUUUCGGUCAGGGAUGAGCUCGCGGCCUAUCAGCUUGUUGGUGAGGUAAUGGCUCACCAAGGCGUCGACGGGUAGCCGGCCUGAGAGGGUGACCGGCCACACUGGGACUGAGACACGGCCCAGACUCCUACGGGAGGCAGCAGUGGGGAAUAUUGCACAAUGGGCGAAAGCCUGAUGCAGCAACGCCGCGUGAGGGACGACGGCCUUCGGGUUGUAAACCUCUUUUAGCAGGGAAGAAGCGAAAGUGACGGUACCUGCAGAAAAAGCGCCGGCUAACUACGUG
RNAcentral lists this ribosomal RNA (468 nucleotides) under uncultured bacterium. Its description in RNAcentral is "partial 16S ribosomal RNA". It matches the Rfam family "Bacterial small subunit ribosomal RNA", at positions 28 to 507 of the family's 1533-position model. The record is from RNAcentral.